Molecule: ribosomal RNA, 467 nt
Filed under: uncultured bacterium
Lineage: Bacteria
Description: partial 16S ribosomal RNA
Rfam family: Bacterial small subunit ribosomal RNA
Source: RNAcentral
GACGAACGCUGGCGGCGUGCUUAACACAUGCAAGUCGAACGGAAAGGCCUCUUUCGGGGGGUACUCGAGUGGCGAACGGGUGAGUAACACGUGAGUAACCUGCCCUUGACUUUGGGAUAACUUCAGGAAACUGGGGCUAAUACCGGAUAGGAGCUCCUGCUGCAUGGUGGGGGUUUGAAAGGUUCGGCGGUUGGGGAUGGACUCGCGGCUUAUCAGCUUGUUGGUGGGGUAGUGGCUUACCAAGGCUUUGACGGGUAGCCGGCCUGAGAGGGUGACCGGCCACAUUGGGACUGAGAUACGGCCCAGACUCCUACGGGAGGCAGCAGUGGGGAAUAUUGCACAAUGGGUGGAAGCCUGAUGCAGCAACGCCGUGUGCGGGAUGACGGCCUUCGGGUUGUAAACCGCUUUCGCUCAUGACGAAGCUUUGUGUGACGGUAGUGGGUAAAGAAGCACCGGCUAACUACGUG